CAGCCUCCCUCGCCACACGAAACCAUCGGCGAGACCCCCUUUCUACCACAGUACAAGCGCGCCUCCUCCGCACCAUCAGUCGCUUCGAAUCCGACUCCAGAACUGUCAACCUCCCCUCUCCAUCAUCACCGACCUAUUCUUUGAAAAUGAUGGGUUCUCAAGAACCUGUCCACAGCCACGUCCAGAUGAUGUUGCUUGCAACAGUUGCAUAUGUUAUAUGCAUCCUUGGGAUCAUCUUAAUGUAAAUUUGGUACAUGUCUCAACCAUCAUACCUUUUGAAUAUUUUCAUCUCCUGGACGUUAGCACUCUAAGUUUCUUGCAUUAUACAUUUUCUUGUGGGAAUAAGUCUAUAUUACUUAAUUGAUAUUUUUUUGUGCGGCAGAUGGUGCUAAUUUAUAAAACACCGUUGGGAUGUACUGAUUUAUAAUGUAUUGUGUUAUGUUGUAUGGCACUAAUUAAUGAAUGCAAUAUUUAAUAGA
This is a long non-coding RNA of Capsicum annuum, 479 nucleotides long. RefSeq lists it as uncharacterized. The transcript has 2 exons. Lineage: Eukaryota; Viridiplantae; Streptophyta; Magnoliopsida; Solanales; Solanaceae. The record is from RefSeq and is a predicted model, not a curated record.